Molecule: ribosomal RNA, 867 nt
Filed under: Triticum aestivum (bread wheat)
Lineage: Eukaryota; Viridiplantae; Streptophyta; Magnoliopsida; Poales; Poaceae
Description: partial small subunit ribosomal RNA
Source: RNAcentral
AUGAACAUUGCCCUCCUGACCCGAUGGUUCUGGCGUAUUGCCAAUGGGGAGGGAGGCCUCUGGCUCACCAUCAUCCGUAAUAAGUACCUCCGUGGCCAACCUCUGGCCUUUUGCCAACGUACGGGUGGAUCCCAGUUCUGGCAGUCCGUGAUCCAGCUUCUGCCCGUACUAUGCAUCGGCACAUCCAUCUCGGUUGGCUCCGGGGCCUCGACCUUGUUCUGGUUCGACCGCUGGCUAGGAGACUCCCCCCUGGCUGCGCGACUCCCAGAUCUAUUUGCCAUUGCGGCUGACCCUCGGGUCUUUGUAGAGACGGCCCUUAUUGACUUAGGGUGUCUCGCCUUCCGGCGCCCCUUUGGCCCCAUCGAGGUGGUCGCCUGGGACUCCCUCCUCCAAGGCGUCGCACUUAUGCUGAUGAACGUCGUGGAGGACCGGGAUGUUCUUUCCUGGCACCUCGAGCCCUCUGGUCGUUUCUCCAUGAAGUCCCUAUACGGCGCCAUAGCUCCCUCGACGGCCCCGGAACCGUUUAGCCUGAUUUGGGACAUCCGUCUUCCGCUGAAGAUCAGGAUCUUCCUGUGGCAAUGGAUCUGUGGACGUCUCCCCUUUGGGGUUGAAGUCCUCAAGCGUAAUGGCCCGGGUGAUGGGAUGUGCCCCAUCUGUGGCACGAUUGAGGAUGCUAACCACAUCUUUUUCUCGUGCCACUCAGCCCAGUUCCUUUGGGCCUGCUUCCGUGAAACGGUUGGGGGACAGUGGUGUAAUACCAACGUCCCCGACCUGCUUGCCGAGCUUAACGCUUCCCCUACUCGCUACCGCCAUAUUAGAUGGCUGCGUUGGGGUUCUAGCCUGGACGCUUUGGAACAUUCGCAAUAA